Molecule: ribosomal RNA, 497 nt
Filed under: uncultured bacterium
Lineage: Bacteria
Description: partial 16S ribosomal RNA
Rfam family: Bacterial small subunit ribosomal RNA
Source: RNAcentral
GAUGAACGCUGGCGGCGUGCCUAAUACAUGCAAGUCGAGCGAACGGACGAGAAGCUUGCUUCUCUGAUGUUAGCGGCGGACGGGUGAGUAACACGUGGAUAACCUACCUAUAAGACUGGGAUAACUUCGGGAAACCGGAGCUAAUACCGGAUGAUAUUUUGAACCGCAUGGUUCAAAAGUGAAAGACGGUCUUGCUGUCACUUAUAGAUGGAUCCGCGCUGCAUUAGCUAGUUGGUAAGGUAACGGCUUACCAAGGCAACGAUGCAUAGCCGACCUGAGAGGGUGAUCGGCCACACUGGAACUGGAACACGGUCCAGACGCCUACGGGAGGCAGCAGUAGGGAAUCUUCCGCAAUGGGCGAAAGCCUGACGGAGCAACGCCGCGUGAGUGAUGAAGGUCUUCGGAUCGUAAAACUCUGUUAUUAGGGAAGAACAUAUGUGUAAGUAACUGUGCACAGCUUGACGGUACCUAAUCAGAAAGCCACGGCUAACUACGUG